RNAcentral lists this long non-coding RNA (547 nucleotides) under Rhinopithecus bieti (black snub-nosed monkey). RNAcentral's name for it is "lncRNA (ENSRBIG00000046763.1)". Lineage: Eukaryota; Metazoa; Chordata; Mammalia; Primates; Cercopithecidae. The record is from RNAcentral.
GUUAACCAAGCCAAGGCCCAAGAUCUAAGCCAAGAGUUGGAGCCAAGUCCAUGGGCAAAGCCAAGAAUCAGUCACAGGAUUAGCACAUCAGAACAAGCCCCAGAACUGCUGCUGAACCCAAGGUCCUCCCCCAGGCCCUGCGUCUUUUGGAGGCAUUCUCUGCCCACGGACUUUCACUCCCAGAGGAACACAAUCUACAAGCCAAAAGAGCCUAAGAACAACCUAGAUCUAGCAUCAUACUUAUUUGGAAUACACUGGAUGUAAGAAACAAAGAAGAAUGUCCAACAUCAACACUACAGUUAACAUUAUAUAAAAGGUACUAACCAAGAAAAAUACAAGAGAAUGAAAAUGAGAGUUAAAAACAUACCGAGGCACAACCAAAACAAAAAAAAAUGCAAGACCCAUAUGAAGAAACCAUUGUAAAUGCUACUGUAGGACAAAAAUGAAGACUUGAAUUAAUGGGAAAACCUACCUUGGACUAGAAGAUCCAACAUUGUAAAGAGGCCAAUUUGUUUGAAAUUAUCUCAUACAUUUUAUAUACAACCCU